AGUGGGCAAAAUGGUAGCAGCUGGCAGCUUCUGCUUCAGAUAAAUAGAUCUCAGCAGUAACAACCUGAAUUUGCCUGUCUCUCCAGACUUCAGAUCUGCUUGUUUGCCCUGCAACCUCAGUUCUUUGAUGGAUCCAAGAAAAGGCCUUGAUUUUUGGCUUAAGAUUUUUCUUAUUGUAAGAAGAGAAGUGAUGACUUCUAAGCUGUUUACACUGAGGGCCUAAAACCAGAGUUUUACACUUGAUUUUUGGAGAGAGGAUUCCCAACCUUUUCACAUCUUCCUCCAUGCUGCCAUAACCCAAAGUUACCACAUUGUUAUCUGGUCUUGGACACCAAUUGGAAACUCUAAACAUGAGGAUAGUAAAGAAGCCAGCUGCAUUGUUGUAAGCUGCCCUGUGGAGAAGGCCACAUGGCAAGUAACUGAGGGAAGUUUCUAGCCAAGCACCAGUGAGAAAUUGAGGUUCUCAGUUCAACAGUCCACAAGGAGCUAAAUCCUGCCAACAAUGAGAUAAAUGAGCUUGGAAAUGGUCAUUCCCUCAAUAAAGCCUUCAGAUGAGACCACAGCCCCAA
Molecule: long non-coding RNA, 569 nt
Filed under: Equus asinus (donkey)
Lineage: Eukaryota; Metazoa; Chordata; Mammalia; Perissodactyla; Equidae
Description: lncRNA (ENSEASG00005037761.1)
Source: RNAcentral